This 497-nucleotide ribosomal RNA is filed under the name uncultured bacterium. RNAcentral describes it as "partial 16S ribosomal RNA". It matches the Rfam family "Bacterial small subunit ribosomal RNA", at positions 28 to 507 of the family's 1533-position model. The record is from RNAcentral.
GAUGAACGCUGGCGGCGUGCCUAAUACAUGCAAGUCGAGCGAACGGACGAGAAGCUUGCUUCUCUGAUGUUAGCGGCGGACGGGUGAGUAACACGUGGAUAACCUACCUAUAAGACUGGGAUAACUUCGGGAAACCGGAGCUAAUACCGGAUAAUAUUUUGAACCGCAUGGUUCAAAAGUGAAAGACGGCCUUGCUGUCACUUAUAGAUGGAUCCGCGCUGCAUUAGCUAGUUGGUAAGGUAACGGCUUACCAAGGCAACGAUGCAUAGCCGACCUGAGAGGGUGAUCGGCCACACUGGAACUGAGACACGGUCCAGACUCCUACGGGAGGCAGCAGUAGGGAAUCUUCCGCAAUGGGCGAAAGCCUGACGGAGCAACGCCGCGUGAGUGAUGAAGGUCUUCGGAUCGUAAAACUCUGUUAUUAGGGAAGAACAUAUGUGUAAGUAACUGUGCACAUCUUGACGGUACCUAAUCAGAAAGGCACGGCUAACUACGUG